Molecule: long non-coding RNA, 211 nt
Filed under: Nicotiana benthamiana
Lineage: Eukaryota; Viridiplantae; Streptophyta; Magnoliopsida; Solanales; Solanaceae
Description: long non-coding RNA (NBEN_LNC037752)
Source: RNAcentral
UUCCAGAUAUUCAUUGUUUUAUUGACGGCAUACACUAAUUUGCUUCUUUUAAAUCAUUACCUUCACCUUUCAAACUUGUUUCCUAACUGGCAUAGCCGUGAACGAUGAUGUAUUUGUGCGGGCUCAUGAAGAAUGCCGCAACUCAUGAGGAAGCAGACGAAUAUAAAAGACCCUCCUCCUUCACCGUGCAUCGCUCUUUGGUACAUUGUGG